GGAGUCCUGUGAUGAAACACAAAGAGGCUCAAAGCUGCGUGAAGCCGGAUCAGGACCAAACUGAGAGCGGUUCUGUAGAGUCUGCAUGAGUCCUGAUCUCUAAGUGAUUAAUAACUAAUCAAACGUUCCUCACAGUAACGUCUGAUGAACACGAUCCCUUAUGGAGGGAACCAGCAUGCUGAGUCCUCACGUGAUCUGGUCUCCACUAAAGGCUCAAACCUGCAGAGCUGCUGCUGUUCUCACACGUUCUCACCACAACGCUUCCUCUUCACUUCUGAGGAAACAACCACCAGAUGCAAAGAGGAAGAAACUCAUCCUCAGAGCUCCGACACGUCGUCUCUAUGAGCACGACGAGGAAGUGACGCUGUGCAACCAGAGGAAGCAGAAGCUGCAUCUGUGAGGAAGAAGCACUCGGUCAGACGCCUUGAGGAGCAGAGACACCAUGGUGGAACUCAGAGGGACUCAAAGGACUUUAUGUGUGAUGCUGCUGCUGCUUCAGGCUGCAGUAAGAGGACAAACCCCCCCUGUCCCCCGCUUCCUCGUCAGAGCCGGAGAUGACGUCACUUUGCCUUCUAAUCAGGACAGAUGUAACGGAUCUACUUGGCUUCACAGUCGUAGUGAUCCAGCUGUGGAGCUGGUUACACUUGGGAAGAUUAAGAAUAACGCUUUGAUUCCAGAAGCUAAAACCAACAGACUGAGUUUGACAGCAAACUGUUCUCUGGUUAUAAGAAACGUCUCAGGUGAAGGUGUUGGUCGUUACACCAACAGACAUUAUGAUGAAGGAGGAAAACAUCAAGGUCCAGAUGGUGUGGUCUCUCUGUACGUGUUUACAAUGGAGGAAAAGGACUACGGGGGUCUGGUUGUGUUGUCCUGCUUUGUGUUGAGAUUCUCUGAGUGUGAACACACAGUAAAGUGGCAUUAUGACGGCAAACAGACUGAUGUGACGACAUCACACGUUGCUUGUGAAGCCAAUGUGACGUUUAAAGCUCCUCUUCAUCAGAAGUCAAAGUAUUAUAAGUCACUGAGAUGUGAAGUGAGAGACACUCGGAGUGGAAAAACUCUGCUGUUUGAAGCCUGCAGUCAGUUCUCAUGUGAACAAACAGUAAGAGGACAAACCCCCCCUGACCCCCGCUUCCUCGUCAGAGCCGGAGAUGACGUCACUUUGCCUUCUAACCAUGUGGAUCAGGACAGAUGUGACGGUUCUACUUGGCUUUACAAUCGUACUGAUUCAUCUGUGGAGCUGGUUACACUUGGGAAGAUUAAUAAUAACGCUUUGAUUCCAGAAGCUAAAAGCAACAAACUGAGUUUGACAGCAAACUGUUCUCUGGUUAUAAGAAGCGUCUCAGGUGAAGAUGUUGGUCGUUACACCAACAGAGAUUUUAAUGAAGCAGGAAAACAACAAGGUCCAGAUGGUGUGGUCUUUCUGUACGUGUUUACAAUGGAGGAAAAGGACUACGAGGGUCUGGUUGAGUUGUCCUGCUUAGUCACUUACUGUGAACACACAGUAAAGUGGCUUUAUGACGGCAAACAGACUGAUGUGACGACAUCACACGCUGCUUGUGAAGCCACUGUGACGUUUAAAGCUCCUCUUCAUCAGAAGUCAAAGUAUUAUAAGUCACUGAGAUGUGAAGUGAGAGACGAUCAGAGUGGAAAAACUCCGCUGUUUGAAGCCUGCAGUCAGUUCUCAUGUGAACAAACAGGAGGCCCACCGGGGGAGGGAAACAUUACACCACCUGCACCACCAGUCUGGUGGCCGUGGCUCGUCAUCCCGCUGGUGGGUUUAUUGGUCCUCUUCAUCAUCCUCGUGGUCUUCAUCAGAUGGAGAAAUCAAGGUGAGAAGUUACACAUCCUCAUCAGAUGCUUUUAUCUGCUGAAACUAAAGUCGACUCUUUUUCAUCUCUUCAGGGAAAAGAACACAGACGGACGAAAACAUCGCCGACCCCGAGGAAGGCGUAGCCUACGCCUCCGUCAGCUACACCAGGACGGCCGGCGGAGGAGCCCGGGUGAGCUCUCUGAUUGGCUGCACCGAUGAGGAAGUGUUUGAGCUAAUUGCAUCACCAUGCUAACCACAACCACGAUGCUAACGUGCUCACAAUGCUACAUGCUGGUGCAAAGCAAAUGUAGUUCCGCACACAAAUACAAACACACACACACACACAAACACACACACACACACGUCAUUCCCCUGGUGGAGAGUUUAGGCAUUGGGCACAAAUUAGAGCUGCGGCUGAUGGGAAGUAUUUAAAUCUAUUUAUCUUUGCUUUACUUUGUGUUCUUUGCUUCGUGGUCUUUGUGUGUGUUUGUUGACGUGUUGAAUCAAGUCGUCAUCAUGUGAUCGUUUCCAGGCUCGGGUCAAAGAUGGCGACGAUGGCGACGAUGUGGUGACUUACUGCACUGUGAAAGCUCCGCCUCCUGCUUCUUCUUCUAGUGCCGGAGCCUCCGUUGAUCCCAGUGACCUCUACGCGGUCGUCAACACACCCAACAAAUAAGAGGCUACGUUGAUGAUUGUAAACCAAGUCAAGCUUUCUUCAUCACGUUCACUCACUGCUGAGAUGAAUUGAGCCAUUUAGCAAAAUGUUUAGAGCAUUUUAUAUUCAUUGAUGUUUUAUUUGAAUAACCUGAAUGUUCCCACCAGAUAAAUCAGAUUAUUAUUGGAAAAUAUAAAUAUGAUAAUACUGAAACCUAGUUUUGCAUUUAAAGUGAGCUUUUGACCACGUUUUUUUACAUUAUGAUAAUUUGUAGGAUUUAGUUCUUUUGAUUUAUAUCCAUCCAGAUGAGGGUGUAAGUGAACUAUAGAACAAUGUGCAACAUUCAUUAGAAAAUUAGUAUGUAAUAUAUGAUGUAUUUUCAGGCUCAGUGAUGUUUACCGUUUAUACGUAAACUUAAAGUGAGCACAGGUUUCAUGAUCUGAUUUUUAUCAUGUAUGUGUAGUGAUGGUUUGAUUAUUGCUCUCGUAAGUAUUUUCUCUUUAAGGUGUCCUCAUAAAAUAAUUAUUAACAUAUAAUGUAUGAGGGUUCAUAGUCCGGGUUAAUUGUUUUUAUUAUAUAUUCCUGUAAUAGUUUCACCUUGUGGAUGUUCAGUUUGCUUUGAACUAAAUAAAAGAAGACAGAAAGGAAGUGUGUGGAGAUCAGGGUCGUCCUUCAACCAUCAGAUCGGAGGUCAGAUCAUCGGCUCCGCAUGUGUCCACGUGUCCUUAGAGACACUUAAACCUGAACGUCAUCAGGGUGUGAAUGAUGUCAGAGAAUAGAACACUAGAAAAGUAAAGUGAGG
Long non-coding RNA from Gasterosteus aculeatus aculeatus (three-spined stickleback), 3270 nucleotides. NCBI's taxonomy places the organism in Eukaryota, Metazoa, Chordata, Actinopteri, Perciformes, Gasterosteidae. The record is from Ensembl.